RNAcentral lists this ribosomal RNA (626 nucleotides) under Arceuthobium pendens. RNAcentral describes it as "partial ribosomal RNA". The stretch from base 218 to 376 matches the Rfam family "5.8S ribosomal RNA". The record is from RNAcentral. Lineage: Eukaryota; Viridiplantae; Streptophyta; Magnoliopsida; Santalales; Viscaceae.
AUUGUCAUGCUUUCAAAGAUGAAUGACAAGUAACAUGUGUCCCUAUUUUUGAUCAUUGAUCUAUCGGUGCAUUCGAUACAUGGCGAGCGAAUAUGUAUGAGUUUGUUUCAAUUACAAUUUGACACGAAAUGUGCCAAGGAAAAGAAGAUAUUGCUCCUCCUUUGAAUGUAAUACAUUGUUAUUUUUUAUAAGGGUGGCGAUUAAUCAAUAAUCAAAUGACUCCCAAUAAUGGAUAUCUUGACUCUCGUAUCGAUGAAGAACGUAGCAAAAUGCGAUACAUGGUGUGAAUUGCAGAAUCCCGCGAAUCAUCGAGUUUUUGAACGCAAGUUGCGCCUGAGAUCAAUUAUAGGUUUAGGGCAUGCUUGCUUGGGUGUAGUGUAUAAGUCACCAAAAUAUUUUUUCCAAGACAUAGUGAUGGAUGGAUGUAUUUGGUUAUUGCGUUGUCUUCUCGUACACCCACUUCUGUACGAUUGGAUAAAAUAUUAGUGUCCUUGCMAUCAAAUGCCUUACGUGUUUUGGUUAACAUUGUAUGGUAUCAAUAUUGUCAAGUUAUAAUUAAAAGGCCAAACAGAUUGUCGGUCUUAUCCUUGUAAAAUUAGAGAAUCAUUUUGACCCCAGGUCAAGCA